CGCAUGGACUCAGUCCUCAAGAAGCUGGAGAAGGUGUCCCACAUGACCAGCAAUCCUGGUCACACCUGAUUAUCCCUCAUUCCCGUCACCUGGUCCUCACGCCCAUCUCACCUGCAGCCCGUUUCCUCAUUAGUCUCUCACUACUUAGGUCUCCUCAUUUGCAUUUGUCCUUUGCUGGAUUGUCUUGUGUGUUCUGAUCUACCUGUGCUAACCCUGGAUUUGACCCUUGAUUUGUUUGCCUGUUUUGACUGACCUUCUGGUUUUGACUCCCUGAAACUGGAGAAAAAGUAUUUUGCUUGUCCAUCUGAUUCUGAGUCGUGCUCGUGAGUUCCAGUACCUGUAACCCUUGCAGAUAGAAAAGCUUCAUGCCGUUCUACAUUUUUGCUACUCGUUAUGAUUCAUGUUCCUGGGUGAGAGUCGGUUGCAGAGAGAUUUUGUUUGAUUUAGCUGCUGCGUCAGGCAGAAGAUGCUCACAUUAAACCUUGAAUGAUGAGAAGUGAUGCUUCCUGUAGGAUUCAGUAAUAUGUGUUUUCUGCAUCACAACUGCUUUAUGUAAGUUUGUAAACAUACACAACAUAAAUGACAAGCAAAUGGAUGACGCAGAUGAUAAAAUAUGCCACCAGGACAGCUUCAGUCAGAACUGAUGCUCAUAAAUUAGCCAGGAUGGAGUAACUGACAGAUGAAUUCAUUUUGAUGUUAAUGUCAUAUUCUCAUCCUCUAAUUUCACACUUUAAUUUUUAAUUUUACAUCACUUAAAUUUAAGGUCAUAUGAUAUACGAUAUAAGGUGAUAUACGAGACUGGGAGCAUUUCUGUUGCUUUUUUAUGUUUAUGAAAACACGAUUCUUCUCAUCAGGUGAUUAAUGUAGAACAUUAAAUUAUUGGGCUGAUGCUUUUGCGAAACACUUGGUUAAGCUUAACUAAAAGAAUGAUUUUAAGGCUCAUCACUGCCUAAGACUGGGAUUCUGUAAGAAAUCCGACUACCUCAGAAAGACAAAUGGAACUCGCCAGUGUGGAUCAACGGCUCACGACUUCAUGGUGACAAAUCGGGUUCGGUAUCGUUUUAGGAAAUAUCUGAUCAAACGAUAUUAACUCAAUACCUUUCUUGAGAGGUCAUUAGAAACUGCCAACAAAGAGUACAAAUAUAGGAAGACAUGAGAACUAAUAAUUCUAACACUGUUUAUUUAACAUCCGUAUCCGCCUGAUAAAAUACACACAAACGCAGGGGUCCGAGCAUAUCAGAGCAAAACACAAAUACACACGCGGGCGCUGUGUUGAAGGCACCAUUAGCACGCUCGGUUAGCUGAGCAGACUCUAAUUCCCCAGAUUGAUGUGUGAAAGGUGCAGAGGGAAGAUCUGAUGACAUCACACAGAGGGAUUUAGACUUUACUGCACUAUGUCUGUACAGUCACAAUAGUUGUUUGUUGCUAUAUAUAUAUAUAUAUAUGAAGAGAACUCAGGGAAAAGUACUAAAAUGCUUUUCUGGUCUCUUAUUUACUAAAUAUCCAAAGUCCAAAAAGUGACCAAAUCAUUUCUGAGUCAACUCAAUCCUUGUCCUUUUCUUUAUUCUAUAUUAAUUCCUGGUCAUGUGGUCGGUCUAUCUGCCCACUAUUGUGUGUGUUUAGAGAAAAGAAGCACGGGGCACCAGAGUUUAAUCUCUUGUGUGGAGCACUGGAGUGUGAAGGGCCCCUCUGGAAAAGCAGAAGAGAAAUACUUGGCAUCAUUAAAGUAACUUCUUUUGAAUCACUUCUUAAACCCAUUGUUAUAGAACAGAUUUUAAGUGAUGUCGUCCUUUUAUGCAGUUCUUUGGUUCCCCUAAUUUAGUUUGUCUGUUUUUUCUAUUUUCUAUGUGUAUCUUACCAUUCUAUUUGUUUUGCAUUGAUUCUCUGUAGAGCACUUUGUAAACUCUGUUUUUAAAGGUGCUAUAUAAAUAAAGUUAUUAUUAUUAUGAUUGUUA
Pseudoliparis swirei is the source of this 1955-nucleotide long non-coding RNA. RefSeq lists it as uncharacterized. Lineage: Eukaryota; Metazoa; Chordata; Actinopteri; Perciformes; Liparidae. The record is from RefSeq and is a predicted model, not a curated record. The transcript has 2 exons.